AGUGAACGCUGGCGGUAGGCCUAACACAUGCAAGUCGAACGGCAGCACAGUAAGAGCUUGCUCUUACGGGUGGCGAGUGGCGGGCGGGUGAGGAAUACAUCGGAAUCUACUUUUUCGUGGGGGAUAACGUAGGGAAACUUACGCUAAUACCGCAUACGACCUACGGGUGAAAGCAGGGGAUCUUCGGACCUUGCGCGAUUGAAUGAGCCGAUGUCGGAUUAGCUAGUUGGCGGGGUAAAGGCCCACCAAGGCGACGAUCCGUAGCUGGUCUGAGAGGAUGAUCAGCCACACUGGAACUGAGACACGGUCCAGACUCCUACGGGAGGCAGCAGUGGGGAAUAUUGGACAAUGGGCGCAAGCCUGAUCCAGCCAUACCGCGUGGGUGAAGAAGGCCUUCGGGUUGUAAAGCCCUUUUGUUGGGAAAGAAAAGCAGCAGGUUAAUACCCCGCUGUUCUGACGGUACCCAAAGAAUAAGCACCGGCUAACUUCGU
RNAcentral lists this ribosomal RNA (491 nucleotides) under uncultured bacterium. Its description in RNAcentral is "partial 16S ribosomal RNA". It matches the Rfam family "Bacterial small subunit ribosomal RNA", at positions 29 to 506 of the family's 1533-position model. The record is from RNAcentral.